AUACGGAGGGUGCAAGCGUUGUUCGGAAUCACUGGGCGUAAAGGGCGCGCAGGCGGUUUUACAAGUCAGAUGUGAAAGCCCACGGCUUAACCGUGGAAGUGCGUUUGAAACUGUAAGACUUGAGUAUCAGAGGGGAAGGUGGAAUUCCCGGUGUAGAGGUGAAAUUCGUAGAUAUCGGGAGGAAUACCGGUGGCGAAGGCGACUUUCUGGCUGAAUACUGACGCUGAGGCGCGAAAGCGUGGGGAGCAAACAGGAUUAGAAACCCGUGUAGUCC
Molecule: ribosomal RNA, 274 nt
Filed under: uncultured bacterium
Lineage: Bacteria
Description: partial 16S ribosomal RNA
Rfam family: Bacterial small subunit ribosomal RNA
Source: RNAcentral